UUGGCCCAGAGCCCCCAAGUUCAUCAUUCACAAUGAUGCCUCAGAAACCCUCCCAGAGCCCCUCCACUCCAACAGACGUCACCUCGAAGCCAGCUGCAGAAGCUGUGCAGGGCGAGCACAGCGACACCGGCCCCACGUCCCUCAGCGGGCUCAUCCUGUCAGCACUGGGGGCCCAAGAACUCCUCGACUCGCUGCACUCCUCCAGCUUCUGCUCCCGGGGGAACAGGAGCACGGGUGCCGCCUGCGGGAGCAGGUGGGGAAGAACGGCGAGCUGAAGAGGGGCAGCCGCCGACAGCCAGGUGCACACGCUGCAGGAGGAGCUGGACGAGCUGAAGGGAGGGGGCUCCCUGCCUUAGCAGCCUGCUGCCCCCAGCCAAGGAAUGGAAUCUUAAACCAGUCAGUGGGGAAUCGCCUGAUGAGCAGCAGUUUGGUGGCAGCAGUGGGAUUCAAAAGACUCAUCUGAUGGCUUCGGAGAUGAGAAACACAGGCAUCAGUACCCGCAAAACCUUUGAGUUCUCCAUCUUUUUCGCUGUUUCCGAGGGCCGUGGGUCUACUGAGACAUACUUGAUAUACAGCACUGUACAAGUUAACACUGCUGUGUGGUAUAUUUGAAAGUUGCCAAGAGAGUAGAUCCUAAAACUUCUCAUCACCAGGAUAAAAGCUUUUAUUUCUGUUUCGUGAUGGAUGUUAACUAACCUUAUUUUGGUAACCAUUACAUAAUAUAUAUAUCAAGUCA
Diceros bicornis minor is the source of this 736-nucleotide long non-coding RNA. RefSeq lists it as uncharacterized. The record is from RefSeq and is a predicted model, not a curated record. Lineage: Eukaryota; Metazoa; Chordata; Mammalia; Perissodactyla; Rhinocerotidae. The transcript has 4 exons.